AUACGGAGGGUGCAAGCGUUAUCCGGAAUCAUUGGGUUUAAAGGGUCCGUAGGCGGAUAAUUAAGUCAGGGGUGAAAUCCCACAGCUCAACUGUGGCGCUGCCUUUGAUACUGGUUAUCUUGAGUUAUAGGGAAGUAGAUAGAAUAUGUAGUGUAGCGGUGAAAUGCAUAGAUAUUACAUAGAAUACCGAUUGCGAAGGCAGUCUACUAUCUGUAUACUGACGCUAAGGGACGAAAGCGUGGGGAGCGAACAGGAUUAGAAACCCUAGUAGUCC
RNAcentral lists this ribosomal RNA (274 nucleotides) under uncultured bacterium. RNAcentral describes it as "partial 16S ribosomal RNA". It matches the Rfam family "Bacterial small subunit ribosomal RNA", at positions 523 to 796 of the family's 1533-position model. The record is from RNAcentral.